AUGGAGCUCUCAUCCCUCCUGCCCUCCCUGUCCCCGCGCCGCGCCCUCCGGCUCUCCUUCUCCACCGCGUCCAAGACGCCCCGGCGGCCGCGGCCGGCCGCCUUCGCCUGCCGCGCGGACGCCUCCCCGGAAGGACCAAUCACCCGGCGAUGGUUCGCCUCGCUAGCCGCCGCCACCGCAGCCGUGGGGAUCAGCGUCGCCGGAGGAGGGGGAGCUGGCGCCGUGUCGACCAGCAGGAGAGUUUUUAGGAGCAGCAAGAUUCCGGAGAGCGACUUCAUCACUCUGCCUAAUGGCAUCAAGUACUAUGACAUCAAAGUAGGAGGUGGGGCUAAAGCAGUUAAGGGAUCGCGCGUCGCAGUACAUUACGUGGCCAAGUGGAAGGGCAUAACAUUCAUGACAAGUAGGCAGGGCCUCGGUGUCACUGGUGGAACGCCGUAUGGGUUUGAUGUUGGCAAUUCUGAAAGAGGCAAUGUUCUAAAAGGAUUGGAUCUCGGGGUUGAGGGAAUGAAAGUUGGAGGCCAGAGGUUGGUUAUUGUUCCUCCUGAGCUAGCUUAUGGAAAAAAGGGCGUUCAAGAAAUUCCUCCUAAUGCAACUAUUGAGCUGGAUGUCGAACUACUAUCGAUCAAACAGAGUCCAUUUGGGAGUCCUGUGAAGAUCGUUGAAGGAUAA
This 669-nucleotide ribosomal RNA is filed under the name Triticum aestivum (bread wheat). RNAcentral's name for it is "partial small subunit ribosomal RNA". The record is from RNAcentral. Lineage: Eukaryota; Viridiplantae; Streptophyta; Magnoliopsida; Poales; Poaceae.